UACGUAGGGUGCAAGCGUUGUCCGGAAUUAUUGGGCGUAAAGAGCUCGUAGGCGGUUUGUCGCGUCUGCUGUGAAAACUCGGGGCUUAACUCCGGGCCUGCAGUGGGUACGGGCAGACUAGAGUGCGGUAGGGGAGACUGGAAUUCCUGGUGUAGCGGUGAAAUGCGCAGAUAUCAGGAAGAACACCCGUGGCGAAGGCGGCUCUCUGGGACGGUACUGACGCUGAGACGCGAAAGCGUGGGGAGCAAACAGG
Molecule: ribosomal RNA, 253 nt
Filed under: uncultured bacterium
Lineage: Bacteria
Description: partial 16S ribosomal RNA
Rfam family: Bacterial small subunit ribosomal RNA
Source: RNAcentral